UACAGAGGCCUCGAGCGUUAAUCGGAAUCACUGGGCUUAAAGCGUGCGUAGGCGGACGUGCAAGCAUGUUGUGAAAUCCCAUGGCUCAACCAUGGAACUGCUUCGUGAACUGCACGUCUUGAGACAAGUAGGGGCGGUCGGAACGAUAGGUGGAGCGGUGAAAUGCGUAGAUAUCUAUCGGAACGCCGAAGGAGAAGUCAGGCCGCUGGGCUUGUUCUGACGCUGGGGUACGAAAGCGUGGGGAGCAAACGGG
Molecule: ribosomal RNA, 253 nt
Filed under: uncultured bacterium
Lineage: Bacteria
Description: partial 16S ribosomal RNA
Rfam family: Bacterial small subunit ribosomal RNA
Source: RNAcentral